GUGACCAGGGUUAGAGUCAGGGGCAGGGUUAGGUGUUAUGGUUGUGACCAGGGUUAGGUGUUAUGGUUGUGACUGGGGUUAGGGGUUAUGGUUGUGACCAGGGUUAGGGGUUAUGGUUGUGACCAGGGUUAGGUGUUAUGGUUGUGACCAGGGUUAGGUGAUAUGGUUGUGACUGGGGUUAGGGGUUAUGGUUGUGACCAGGGUUAGGGGUUAUGGUUGUGACCAGGGUUAGGUGUUAUGGUUGUGACCAGGGUUAGGUGAUAUGGUUGUGACCAGGGUUAGGGGUUAUGGUUGUGACCAGGGUUAGGUGAUAUGGUUGUGACCAGGGUUAGGUGUUAUGGUUGUGACCAGGGUUAGGUGUUAUGCUUGUGACCAGGGUUAGAGACAGGGGCAGGGUUAGGUGUUAUGGUUGUGACCAGGGUUAGAGUCAGGGGCAGGGUGUUAGAUACUGUCGUGAGUGAAAAGCCCAGGAAGACUGUUGUUUCUGAGAUCCUGGAUCUGGCGUGCCUGGCAUGUAUGUAUGUAUG
RNAcentral lists this long non-coding RNA (527 nucleotides) under Salmo salar (Atlantic salmon). Its description in RNAcentral is "lncRNA (ENSSSAG00000115453.1)". The record is from RNAcentral. Lineage: Eukaryota; Metazoa; Chordata; Actinopteri; Salmoniformes; Salmonidae.